This is a non-coding RNA of Knufia fluminis, 149 nucleotides long. NCBI's taxonomy places the organism in Eukaryota, Fungi, Ascomycota, Eurotiomycetes, Chaetothyriales, Trichomeriaceae. The record is from the annotation of a GenBank genome assembly.
GGGCCUGUAGCUCAGUGGUAGAGUGUUCCCUUCGCAUGACUGAAGCACGCAGACGUGUGGUGGUCUUAGGCCAGUCGUCCUUCGACUUUUGGUGGAGGUCGAACCAGUCGGUUUGGGAAAAGUCGUCCGUUCGAACCGGACCUGGUCCA